RNAcentral lists this ribosomal RNA (933 nucleotides) under Halomonas sp. RNAcentral's name for it is "bacterial SSU rRNA". It matches the Rfam family "Bacterial small subunit ribosomal RNA", at positions 556 to 1489 of the family's 1533-position model. Lineage: Bacteria; Pseudomonadati; Pseudomonadota; Gammaproteobacteria; Oceanospirillales; Halomonadaceae. The record is from RNAcentral.
GGGCGUAAGCGCGCGUAGGUGGCUAAGUCAGCCAGGUGUGAAAGCCCCGGGCUCAACCUGGGAACGGCAUCUGGAACUGCUUGGCUAGAGUGCAGGAGAGGAAGGUAGAAUUCCCGGUGUAGCGGUGAAAUGCGUAGAGAUCGGGAGGAAUACCAGUGGCGAAGGCGGCCUUCUGGACUGACACUGACACUGAGGUGCGAAAGCGUGGGUAGCAAACAGGAUUAGAUACCCUGGUAGUCCACGCCGUAAACGAUGUCAACUAGCCGUUGGGUCCCUUGAGGACUUAGUGGCGCAGCUAACGCAAUAAGUUGACCGCCUGGGGAGUACGGCCGCAAGGUUAAAACUCAAAUGAAUUGACGGGGGCCCGCACAAGCGGUGGAGCAUGUGGUUUAAUUCGAUGCAACGCGAAGAACCUUACCUACCCUUGACAUCCAGAGGACUUUCCAGAGAUGGAUUGGUGCCUUCGGGAACUCUGAGACAGGUGCUGCAUGGCUGUCGUCAGCUCGUGUUGUGAAAUGUUGGGUUAAGUCCCGUAACGAGCGCAACCCCUAUCCUUAUUUGCCAGCGAGUAAUGUCGGGAACUCUAAGGAGACUGCCGGUGACAAACCGGAGGAAGGUGGGGACGACGUCAAGUCAUCAUGGCCCUUACGGGUAGGGCUACACACGUGCUACAAUGGCAAGUACAAAGGGUUGCAAUACUGCGAAGUGGAGCCAAUCCCAUAAAGCUUGCCUCAGUCCGGAUUGGAGUCUGCAACUCGACUCCAUGAAGUCGGAAUCGCUAGUAAUCGUGGAUCAGAAUGCCACGGUGAAUACGUUCCCGGGCCUUGUACACACCGCCCGUCACACCAUGGGAGUGGACUGCACCAGAAGUGGUUAGCCUAACCUUCGGGAGGGCGAUCACCACGGUGUGGUUCAUGACUGGGGUGAAGUCUA